UGGCCUUCCACCACUCCCAAAUUCCAAUUUCUCUAGCAUUCAUUUUCUACUCUCAACGUCAAAAUUCAGCAUAAGACUAUCAAAGAAUUGAGUUGAAGAUUUGAAGAAAAAAAUUCUAAGAGGCAAAAGAUGGAAGAAUAUGAGGCUGCUGGUAUAAGGUCUUGAUGUUUUCGUGAAGACCACAAAUAAAUGAGGCUGAUAAUAACUAGCAAGGCUAUUCCUUGAAGUAAAUACAUCACAUGAUAGUACCAAGCAAGCAGUUGGUAUGUAGUAGACACAUUAUUUUUCUGUUGUUUUGUGUAAUAAGUUUUUAUUAACUAUGCCUCUGAAAUUGAAGAUAAAUUUUGAUCAAAUGCUAGCUUGAUCUAAAGUUUGUUUGAGCAUGGGACAUGUCAUUACUGGUGACCACCACAAGAGAUAAAUUUUCUUACUUGAUUAUCUUAAAAC
Molecule: long non-coding RNA, 447 nt
Organism: Solanum stenotomum
Lineage: Eukaryota; Viridiplantae; Streptophyta; Magnoliopsida; Solanales; Solanaceae
Exons: 3
Source: RefSeq, a predicted model, not a curated record